RNAcentral lists this ribosomal RNA (327 nucleotides) under uncultured bacterium. RNAcentral's name for it is "bacterial SSU rRNA". It matches the Rfam family "Bacterial small subunit ribosomal RNA", at positions 585 to 910 of the family's 1533-position model. The record is from RNAcentral.
AAGUCAGAGGUGAAAUCCCGGGGCUCAACUGUGGAACUGCCUUUGAUACUGGUUAACUUGAGUUCGGGAGAGGUGAGUGGAAUUCCCAGUGUAGAGGUGAAAUUCAUAGAUAUUAGGAAGAACACCAGUGGCGAAGGCAGCUUACUGGACCAAUACUGACGCUGAGGGACGAAAGCGUGGGGAGCAAACAGGAUUAGAUACCCUGGUAGUCCACGCCGUAAACGAUGAUAUGCUAGAUGUUGGGGGGAUUGACCCUUUGGUGGCGAAGCUAACGCAUUAAGUUAUCCGCCUGGGGAGUACGGCCGCAAGGUUAAAACUCAAAGGAAU